AGAGAAGUGACUUGGCGCUCCAAGUCACUACUAAUGGCUAAAACCGGAAACUGGAAACGAUACCGUGCAGUGGAAAUAAUGCGUUGCGUACAAUGAGCCACAUUAAGAGGUUCCAACUUAGCCAUUAUUCAUGGUUAUGAAUACCAAGACUGAUAUAUGGGAACAAAACAACGACUAUGAACAGAAGAGGACAGAUCAGGAAAGAAAACAAGCCUGGAACAAUCAAAAGUAAAGGGAGCAAGACAAGGAGUGAAAUCAGAAAAAUUUCCAAGAAAAAGAUUAUCACCCAAUUUUCCUAAGCCUAGCAUGUAAGUCUGGAUUUUACAAGAAAAGGAGAGGGAAUUGAUCAAGAGAUUCUUGUCAUAGAACAGAAAGUUAGUAGGUGAAAUGAGAAAUGAUCUGUGUGAGCCCUGUGGAGGUAACAUGGUAAAUACUCUCAAUAUACUGUAAAAAGUGUGAUUAAAGGGAAGAAACAUUGAAAGAAAAUUAUCCACAUGUGCUGAUUUGGAGAACAGCCACACUUUGUAAUAUGAACCAAGAGAUAAAAUCAAAUUUGUUUCUCAGUGGGGAAACAUAAGCCUUUUUUCAGGCUGUAUUCCUCUGCUACCUGCCUUGUUUUCUUCACUAUAAAUGAGCAUUGGGAAAAGAACAGGCUUUAGAGAUUCUGCCCAAGCAAUUCACAGACCGUCUUCUUGGUAAUCACUAGGUAGCUCUUUUUAAUUUUUUUUUCAGUAAAGUUCACAGGAUUUAACCUUGGUUUUUGAUAGCAAGUAUUAUUUUUAAUAUUUAUCAAGCUACCAAAAUAUCUCUAAAGUUAUCUUAGAAUAUAUGUAGAGAAGGAAAAGUGAAUAUAUACAUGUAUAUAUGUGUAUAUAUGUAUAUAUAUGAACAUACAGAUAUUUCAAUCCUUAGGGUGAUGUAAAUUCUGCAGAUUUUACUUAUGCACAUUAUUUUGUAAUUUGACCUAAAUAAUUAUCAGGGUAAGACCAGCAUUUGCCAUAAUAAGAUAGUACAUGGAUUAAUUGACCAAUUAUAGUAUUUUCAGCAGCACCUCAUGGCAAAUGGCUUAAUUGUGGCUAAAUUACAGGCAAAGUGAUUGACAAAAAUUGUUCCCAAGUAAAUCUCAGUUUGCAGUGUUCAUCAUCAAACUUGUCAUCUUUACUAAAACUAAAGGUAAGGUUAUUGUUUAGAUCAGAAAUACCUGUUUUUGUGAUUUUUUUUUUGUUUAGGCUAAAGGGACAUCUAUAAGUACAAAGAUAAAUCCAUCUUUCACACAGAUACCUUUUUAUGUGUUUGCAGUUUCAAUUUAAAGGAUAACAAGUUUAUUUCAAUUUCUAUGGUGCAAUUAUGUUGACUGUAUUGGGAAAACAUGAACCAAUACAUUUAACUUUAAGAUCUAUAGCUAAUUAUAAAAAGUCAUGUAUAUGACAUUUUUUGAGGAUUUCAAAUUCAAAAAUAAUAUUUAACUUCUGAAUAAUAUAUAUUCAUGCAUAUAUCAUAAUAAUAUAGUAACAAUAUCUUAUUGACUUACUGAGCAAAAUAUGAUCAUAAAAUAUGUCAUUACAGCCCAGAAACACAGCAAUAAAAAUUUAGAUCAAAAUAUCUAACAACAUCAAUCUAUUAGCAAUGAUAUUGUUAUAAAAUAUUUAUGACACUUUGAUUUAAAAAAACCUGAGAUUCAUUCAGUAUCCUUUUGGCAUUUGAACUGACAUCUCUUCAUCUUCUACACAAUUGCUGAUUCAGAGAGUAAAUGGUUAGAUCUGUCAGGCAGCUUUAUACUUUCACAUUAAAAUUCAAUAUUAUUUAGACCCAAGUAGAUAGAUUAAAAAAUAGCACUUCUGAUCAGGAAGGAAACGUAUAAAUUAUGAAGUAAGUGAAGGAGUCACUGGCCAAUUGUUUGAAGAAAAAAAUACACCAUGUACCAAAAUAAACGCCUGGUGGGUAAAGAGUUUAAUGUAAAACUGAAUCCAUAAAAUUACUACAAGAAAAUAUAGAGAAAUACUCACAUAAUCUUGGGAGUAGGAAUUAUAUUGCAUGAAAUGUAAAGUAAAAGGAUGACUUUUAAAAGGCAUGAAAAACUAAAAAGUGAUUUUAAAAAUCACCAAAAAAUUAAAUGGCAAGUACCAAAUUGAAAGGAAACAAAAAUCUUCUUCAAAAAGUUGAAGGGCAGUUGCCAAACUGGAAUGGAAAAAGGGACAAAGGAGUAGGAAGUCUUACAAAUCAGUUAGAAAAAGAUAAAUAGCUAAAUAGAAAAAUGGGCAAAGGACUUCUGCAGGUAAAUCAAAAAAGAAGGAAUAAAAGUCAAAAAGAUAAAUUUUUUCAUUUUUGUCAGUAAUAAAAAAUGCAAAUUAAAAAGAUUAAAACACUACCUUUGCCUAUCUAAUUGGUAAGGAUUAUUUUAAAAGAUAAUAACCUGUAUUAGAAUACUACAUCUGUUCUCCAUUGCUCUUUGACAAAAUAUCUGUAAAGUACAUACCUUUUAACCAGCAAUUCCACUUCAAAAUAAUGCUAAGGAAAUAAUUAAUGAUAUGUGCCAUAAGAUGUUUACUGCAAUUUCCUUCCUUGCUCACCUUCCUCUCUAUCUUCCUUAUGUUUGAUAUUGAUGAAAAAGGGAAAAGAUUAAAAUGUCCCCCCAAAAGGAGACUGGUUAAAUUAAGUAUGGUAGAUUCAUUCAACAAAAAACCCACAAUAUUUCACCAAUAAAAAUGACCAACCACAGUAAAUGUAUUUGAAAAGAUGUUCAUAAUAUAUUGUUAAUAAGGAAAAUCAGAAUACAAAGCAAAAUGUACUGGGGGAGAGUCUUUUCUUUCUCUCUCACUCUUGCUCCCUCCCCACCUCCCACCACCACUAUACACCUACACCCACAUAUAUAUAUAUGCUUACUGGAAAGGUAUUGGAAAAACAUAAUUAACUGUGGGAAGGGACAUUACCAGAUUGUUAAAUGUUCUUCUUUUCUCCAGUUUUAUAUUAUUUUCUAACAUCACUACAAUGAACAGGAAUUAAUUUUUUGAUAUGUAAAACUAUUUAAAAAUUAAACAUAUAAUGUUA
Molecule: long non-coding RNA, 3048 nt
Organism: Phyllostomus hastatus (greater spear-nosed bat)
Lineage: Eukaryota; Metazoa; Chordata; Mammalia; Chiroptera; Phyllostomidae
Exons: 2
Source: RefSeq, a predicted model, not a curated record